ACCUGCAGCUGUACCACCCUGGCCUAUGAUCACAUUGGUACUCACGAGCUAAACAGAGUAGGACCUAGUCAAUACUUGGAUGGCAGACCAGCCAGGAACGUUGCAGAGA
This 109-nucleotide ribosomal RNA is filed under the name Gopherus agassizii (Agassiz's desert tortoise). Lineage: Eukaryota; Metazoa; Chordata; Testudines; Testudinidae. The record is from RNAcentral.